RNAcentral lists this long non-coding RNA (921 nucleotides) under Marmota monax (woodchuck). The record is from RNAcentral. Lineage: Eukaryota; Metazoa; Chordata; Mammalia; Rodentia; Sciuridae.
UCUGGAGCACUCUAGGAAGCUUUGCUUCAGCUUUGUUUUUUGGUGGCAAAGGAAAACCGAUCUCCUGGUUUACUUUUGGAAUCUGCAAAGCAACCCUGAGGUCCCAGGUGGAUUUAGUGUUUGGAAAAGGGAACUUGGGGAACUAAGGUUGACCCUGAGCCCCCAGGUCACUGUUCACAUUUACAAAAGCAAACCUAGUAUCCCCAAUUGCUUUUCUCUUGAGGUUGGCUUAACUUUAUUUUCUUCUGUCUUGGGUCACUGCCCCUGAGGUGCUUCAAAAGCAAAAUCCAAAAGACCCAAAACAAAGAAAGCUAAACCAGAUUCAAGGAAAAAAUGACCUGGCACUGUGGAUUCAUUUUUACAAAGGCAAAAAGCCACUUCAAGAGUUCCAAAGAAUGGUUUUAAAUCUGCCUAGAUUCAUUCUGUCAUUUGCAUAAAGUGACUUCAUCAAGUCUGAGACCCCAAGUUUCUUGGGUGUGGUUUAGGAGUGAGUUCUUGGGAUGGGAAGCUGGUCAGCAAGCUAAAUGGGUUGACACAGGUAGAUUCCUCCGUAAUUCAACUAUUUUGAGCCUAUAAAUGGGACCACCCAUGCAACCACUUCUCCCCUUAAGCUGCUCUUUUUGUUUUCUGGACACACAGGGAGCACUGAGGAAAUGAAAUUUAUAACUCAUGUACAAGUAUUGGUAUAAAUCCACUUAAUGUUAUUAGUUAUGAAGGGUAUUUUUGAAUCCUUGGUGGGAAAAAAAGGAUACUAAUUUCAGAUAAUCUUAUAAAUUGUGAUGAGAUAAAACUGAGGCACAUUGUUUUGCUAUUCAUUUUUAUAUGAGCCAUAGUUUGCUUACUUCCCAAAAGGAUUUAAGGUGGAAUUAUUUUACUCAACUGUUGGGACAAACCUAUUUAUAUAACUUAAUACCAAUUUUC